RNAcentral lists this transfer RNA (72 nucleotides) under Camelus bactrianus (Bactrian camel). It matches the Rfam family "tRNA". Rfam says of the family: Transfer RNA (tRNA) molecules are approximately 80 nucleotides in length. Their secondary structure includes four short double-helical elements and three loops (D, anti-codon, and T loops). Further hydrogen bonds mediate the characteristic L-shaped molecular structure. tRNAs have two regions of fundamental functional importance: the anti-codon, which is responsible for specific mRNA codon recognition, and the 3' end, to which the tRNAs corresponding amino acid is attached (by aminoacyl-tRNA synthetases). tRNAs cope with the degeneracy of the genetic code in two manners: having more than one tRNA (with a specific anti-codon) for a particular amino acid; and 'wobble' base-pairing, i.e. permitting non-standard base-pairing at the 3rd anti-codon position. Lineage: Eukaryota; Metazoa; Chordata; Mammalia; Artiodactyla; Camelidae. The record is from Rfam by way of RNAcentral. RNAcentral also lists the same sequence under 3 other names.
GAUGGUAUAGCUCAGUGGUAGAGUGCUUGCUGAGCAUGGACGAGGUCCUGAGUUCAAUCCCCAGUACCUCCA